CGACGUUGGCGGCACUGACUCGUAAAGGACACAAAUUGAUCCAUCUUCGCCUAUUCGGUAGGAAACCUCAAAUGGAUCGACCCAAAGACUGUUUCGAGAGACUGACUAAACUGUUGAAGCCGUUCGUCGGAGAGGAGCCCAGUUGUCCUCAGAAACCUGGUAAUAAACCCCACAGCAGUAGAUAUCUCCGUCUUCAUUUUAUCGAGGAAUGGCAGUGCGUCAAGGAAAGAGACGGACCAGUUUGGCUGUGAGAUUCUUGAAACGCACCACACAGAACUAAAGCGAAAGUUAAAAGAAGUGGAAGAUAAGCUGCUGCUGAAGACUGGUGAAAUCAAAGUGCUGCGAGAUUCCCUGCGACAGACUGAACAGGAGGGGGACCAGCAGAGGAAAGCUCAGCUCCUUGAGGAGGAGAAAGCCUAGGCUCGGAGUGACAAGGAAAAGGAAUUAUUGAAAAAGGUGCAAUCCCUGCAGUCUGAACUGCUCUUUAAAGAAGCAGAGGUGACUGAGAUGAAAACCAAGCUCCAGAGCUGUGAAAGAGGGACUACAUCUGCAGCUGUUUCUGUUUCAAAAAUGAGCCCUAGGCAGAGUUCUUCUGGGAUGUUGAGGCAGUAUAUCGCUGCCUCUCCUUUGGCCACUCGGUAUUCAUUCCUUACCAAGGAGACCUUCGGUGCUGAAAUGGCUUCGAAGCACUCACCAUUAAAGGUUCAGGAGAUCAAUAUGGGCUGUUCUGCCAAGGAAGGAUCCAUUCUACUAAACCUCCUGCUUCAGCAUCCCCUGGGUCCUGGCUCUCUGGGUCUAUGUCACCUACUCAGCAUCAGCCCUGAUGCUCUGUCUGGCUCCUUGUCUCAACACGGCUGCUUCAACACGUAAGCAUAGUUAUAUGUACAGCAAUCUUUCUUUGUUCAUCUGCUUAAUAUUAAUCACUUUAAUUUUACACGCUUCAGCAAUACUGGCAUUGCACCCCUUGAUAUGUAGUCCUCUCUUUACAUAUGUCACUAUCAUUUGUACCAAUGUGUUUAAUAGCGAUUUAUCGUUGAGCUCCAGCGGUUUGUCAACAGAGACUAAAACAAGCAACAGAACUCACAAUGGUUACUUUGGAAACUGUGGACCUCCUUCACCCGCUGUUGGAGAAGCUACUGUAGCUCGCAGAUCCAGCUUUCACAAAUACUCCCCAUCACAGAGACACUGUGUUGAUCCAUAGUUGGAAGACUUUGAACAUGCUGGCUGAGAGUGCAUUGUUUUACAAGGGUGGUGAUACAGGUAGAGUACAGAAGUUUGUCAUGAUGCUAACUGUAUUAUGUCCCUUGAAUACUGUGACCAUGAAAUUAGUGCCUAACUGGGCUUGCCGUGUGAUGCAAUACUGGUAAACAGUGUGUGUGUGCUCAGAGUAUGGUACAGGUUUGGACCAAUAUCUAAUGAAACUGAAGUAGGAACAUCACUUUUACCAUCGUAUAUUCCUGAUAGCAAUAUCUGAUGAAUAACAUAAGUUCUACCACUUUUUAAAUCUUUGUUUGUUGUUUCAAU
Polyodon spathula (Mississippi paddlefish) is the source of this 1524-nucleotide RNA transcript. It is a transcript of the gene named ATR-interacting protein-like, with no coding region annotated. The transcript is spliced from 7 exons. The record is from RefSeq and is a predicted model, not a curated record. Lineage: Eukaryota; Metazoa; Chordata; Actinopteri; Acipenseriformes; Polyodontidae.